Molecule: ribosomal RNA, 253 nt
Filed under: uncultured bacterium
Lineage: Bacteria
Description: partial 16S ribosomal RNA
Rfam family: Bacterial small subunit ribosomal RNA
Source: RNAcentral
UACGGAGGGGGCUAGCGUUGUUCGGAAUUACUGGGCGUAAAGCGCACGUAGGCGGCUUUGUAAGUUAGAGGUGAAAGCCCAGGGCUUAACCCUGGAAUUGCCUUUAAGACUGCAUCGCUAGAAUUGUGGAGAGGUAAGUGGAAUUCCGAGUGUAGAGGUGAAAUUCGUAGAUAUUCGGAAGAACACCAGUGGCGAAGGCGACUUACUGGACACAUAUUGACGCUGAGGUGCGAAAGCGUGGGGAGCAAACAGA